This 263-nucleotide unclassified non-coding RNA is filed under the name plant metagenome. Its description in RNAcentral is "partial contains small subunit ribosomal RNA, internal transcribed spacer 1, and 5.8S ribosomal RNA". The record is from RNAcentral.
UUUCCGUAGGUGAACCUGCGGAAGGAUCAUUAUUGUAUAACCGGGGUGCGGGGGCUGUCGCUGACCCGAAAGGUCGUGCACGCCCGAGUGCCCUCGCACACAUCCAUCUCACCCCUAUGUGCACCACCGCGUGGGUCCCCCUUUGGCUUGUUCGGAGGGGGGCUUACGUUUUCACACAAACUUUGUAUGCAGUGUAGAAUGUAUUUUUUGUUUUUGCGAUCACGCAAUCAAUACAACUUUCAACAACGGAUCUCUUGGCUCUC